RNAcentral lists this ribosomal RNA (537 nucleotides) under uncultured bacterium. Its description in RNAcentral is "bacterial SSU rRNA". It matches the Rfam family "Bacterial small subunit ribosomal RNA", at positions 336 to 863 of the family's 1533-position model. The record is from RNAcentral.
CUCCUACGGGAGGCAGCAGUGGGGAAUCUUACGCAAUGGGCGAAAGCCUGACGUAGCGACGCCGCGUGGGUGAUGAAGGCCCUCGGGUUGUAAAGCCCUGUGGGGAGGGACGAAAACACUUAGGGUGAACAAUCCUAGGAAUUGACGGUACCUCCUUAGCAAGCACCGGCUAACUCUGUGCCAGCAGCCGCGGUAAGACAGAGGGUGCAAACGUUGCUCGGAAUCACUGGGCGUACAGCGCGUGUAGGCGGUUACGUGCGUCGGACGUGAAAGCCCAAGGCUCAACCUUGGAAGUGCGUACGAAACGGCGUGGCUUGAGUACUGGAGAGGAGAGCGGAACUCUCGGUGUAGAGGUGAAGUUCGUAGAUAUCGGGAAGAACACCAGUGGCGAAGGCGGCUCUCUGGACAGAUACUGACGCUGAGACGCGAAAGCAUGGGGAGCAAACAGGAUUAGAUACCCUGGUAGUCCAUGCUGUAAACGAUGAGAACUGGGUGUUGCGGGUAUUGACCCCCGCGGUGCCAAAGCCAACGCGUUAA